Molecule: transfer RNA, 55 nt
Filed under: Dioscorea nipponica
Lineage: Eukaryota; Viridiplantae; Streptophyta; Magnoliopsida; Dioscoreales; Dioscoreaceae
Description: partial tRNA-His
Source: RNAcentral
GGCGGAUGUAGCCAAGUGGAUCAAGGCAGUGGAUUGUGAAUCCACCAUGCGCGAA